This 70-nucleotide transfer RNA is filed under the name Stylotermes sp. Chi-131. RNAcentral's name for it is "tRNA-Lys". The record is from RNAcentral. Lineage: Eukaryota; Metazoa; Arthropoda; Insecta; Blattodea; Stylotermitidae.
CAUCAGAUGACUGAAAGCAAGUAAUGGUCUCUUAAACCACUUAAUGGUAAUAUAGCACAUAUCUCUGAUG